Molecule: long non-coding RNA, 1400 nt
Filed under: Anser cygnoides (Swan goose)
Lineage: Eukaryota; Metazoa; Chordata; Aves; Anseriformes; Anatidae
Description: lncRNA (ENSACDG00005005355.1)
Source: RNAcentral
AUGAAGCUCUGUGGAUGUGGAUCUUGCUCCUGCAAGCAAAAUUUUUCUGUAAUCUGCAGUGACACAAGUUUUGCAGUAGCAGAAAGGACUUCAUUUGCCCUCCUCAAGCUGGGGCCCUCAGACACGCUCUCUCCUGCAUCAUAUAAAACUUUGAAUCUUGAAGUUUCUGUUCACAGAAGAGCAGGAAGCAUGUACAAGAUAAUCUUCUAUAAAACAGUGUUUUGAAGUGCUUUGACACUGCAAGAAGUACAUGAAAGCCAUUGGAACGAAGUCUGUGAAGGAAGUUUAUCUUAAUUCUCUCUUGGAACAAUUAUGGCGAUUAGAUACACUGAUACUUUUGUAUCCUUAAAACCACAAUAUUUGUAGAGCAAUGAUUAGAAGGAGUUUCUUACUGGAAAUAGAUCUAAAACUAUGGUUUUGAUGACAUCUUUAGGAAAACAGUUGUGCUAUGAGCAAGAUAAUGAUGACAGAUAUCAAGGUCAGUGUAAUUACUUUCUGUGUUUGGAUUAGCAUUACCCUAGGUGUUACAUGCAAACUAUCUACAAGCAUCAGUCUAUUGUUAUCCUUUCUUAAGAACAGACCUUCUUACUUUUACAUUAUGAACAUUAAUGCAUGCACCAAAAUAAGAUUUAGUUCCUUUUUUUUUUUUUUUUUUUUAACUUGAAGAUGCAUUAGAGAAAAAAAAAAAGAGAAAGGGAAAAACAGACCAAGGCUGGCUUUAAAGCUGCUGAUAUGCAAACUCAGAAAAGCAGACUGCAAAAAUGUAUUUUAUCCAAGAGAGCUGGAUUGAAGAAACUAGCUAGCAUUUAAAAAAGAACUGGUAUGUCAGGUUCCUAUUUACAUUUCUGAUACUCCUGAAAUUAAUAGAUAGCUAUUUGCUUUAAUCUUUCCGUAUCAGCCACAAACUGCUUGUAUAUGUUGUAUCAUAAUAAUUCUGAUAGGAAUAGAAUUUUAUUUUAGUGACAUUGAGUUUCUAAUUUUCAAGCCCAAGUUAUUGGAUGGGAACUGUGCUUGAGGGUGAUAUAAAAACCUUACGUAAACAGUGCUUCAGAACUAUAUAUAUAUCUUGACUGGACUAAACCAACAGGGGUAGUAGCAUGCAUAUUCAAAAGCACACUUAAAUGAAAAAUAUUUCAGAGCUACAGUAACAUGAUCUUCUGAGCUGUAAGUAAAAUGUAAUAUGAUAACAGAAGACAAGGUUAGUAAAACAAGCCUUACUCCUUCAGAUUCUUUGUUUAAUGCUAUUCAGUAUCUGGACACAGUAAACUCGGUGCCUCUCCACCCCUCACCCACAAUGGAUCUCCUUCUGAAUUAUUUGUCUUUGAAAUUACUCAUUUUUUCCUCCAGCUGUGUUGCAAUGUUCAGCUGAGGCUAUAAAUAAACAGCUCUUUCAAAUGUCA